Molecule: ribosomal RNA, 914 nt
Filed under: Curvularia coicis
Lineage: Eukaryota; Fungi; Ascomycota; Dothideomycetes; Pleosporales; Pleosporaceae
Description: LSU rRNA
Rfam family: Eukaryotic large subunit ribosomal RNA
Source: RNAcentral
CUAAGCAUAUCAAUAAGCGGAGGAAAAGAAACCAACAGGGAUUGCCUUAGUAACGGCGAGUGAAGCGGCAACAGCUCAAAUUUGAAAUCUGGCUCUUUUAGGGUCCGAGUUGUAAUUUGCAGAGGGCGCUUUGGCUUUGGCAGCGGUCCAAGUUCCUUGGAACAGGACGUCACAGAGGGUGAGAAUCCCGUACGUGGUCGCUAGCUAUUGCCGUGUAAAGCCCCUUCGACGAGUCGAGUUGUUUGGGAAUGCAGCUCUAAAUGGGAGGUAAAUUUCUUCUAAAGCUAAAUAUUGGCCAGAGACCGAUAGCGCACAAGUAGAGUGAUCGAAAGAUGAAAAGCACUUUGGAAAGAGAGUCAAACAGCACGUGAAAUUGUUGAAAGGGAAGCGCUUGCAGCCAGACUUGCUUGCAGUUGCUCAUCCGGGCUUUUGCCCGGUGCACUCUUCUGCAGGCAGGCCAGCAUCAGUUUGGGCGGUGGGAUAAAGGUCUCUGACACGUUCCUUCCUUCGGGUUGGCCAUAUAGGGGAGACGUCAUACCACCAGCCUGGACUGAGGUCCGCGCAUCUGCUAGGAUGCUGGCGUAAUGGCUGUAAGCGGCCCGUCUUGAAACACGGACCAAGGAGUCUAACAUCUAUGCGAGUGUUUGGGUGUCAAGCCCGAGCGCGUAAUGAAAGUGAACGGAGGUGGGAACCCGCAAGGGCGCACCAUCGACCGAUCCUGAAGUUUACGGAAGGAUUUGAGUAAGAGCAUGGCUGUUGGGACCCGAAAGAUGGUGAACUAUGCUUGAAUAGGGUGAAGCCAGAGGAAACUCUGGUGGAGGCUCGCAGCGGUUCUGACGUGCAAAUCGAUCGUCAAAUUUGGGCAUAGGGGCGAAAGACUAAUCGAACUAUCUAGUAGCUGGUUCCUGCCGAGU